UACGGGGGGGGUAAGCGUUGUUCGGAAUUACUGGGCGUAAGGGCUCGUAGGCGGCCAACUAAGUCAGACGUGAAAUCCCUCAGCUUAACUGGGGAACUGCGUCUGAUACUGGAUGGCUUGGAUUUGGGAGAGGAAUGCGGAAUUCCAGGUGUAGCGGUGAAAUGCGUAGAUAUCUGGAGGAACACCGGUGGCGAAGGCGGCAUUCUGGACCGACAUUGACGCUGAGGAGCGAAAGCCAGGGGAGCAAACGGG
Molecule: ribosomal RNA, 252 nt
Filed under: uncultured bacterium
Lineage: Bacteria
Description: partial 16S ribosomal RNA
Rfam family: Bacterial small subunit ribosomal RNA
Source: RNAcentral